CUUCCUGGGGCAGCCCAUGCCCAAAGACCCAAGAAUCACCAGCAAUUUGCUUCAAAUAAAACUUACUAGAAUUAAAAGAACCUAAAAGAACUAAUAGAACUUAAAUUGAAGACUUUUCUUCCUAGCUCUUUGGAACUUGUUCUUUCUUUCCUCCAACAAGGUGUUGAUCCCAAGGAUGCUCCUGAAUACACAUCUUGUACACUAAAAAGAAGACUCUUGACAGUCCCUUGGACUGCAAGAAGAGCAGACCAGUCAAUCCUAAAGGAAAUCAAUCCUGAAUAUUCAUUGGAAGGACUGAUCCUGCAGCUGAAGCUCCAAUACUUUGGCCACCUGAUGCAAAGAGUGGACUCAUCGGAAAAGAUCCUGAUGCUGGGAAAGAUUGAGGACAGGAGGAGAAGAGGGUGACAGAUGAUGAGAUGGUUGGAUGGCAUCAUCAACUCAAUGGACAUGAGUUUGAGCAAACUCCGGGGGAUAGUAAAGGACAGGGAAGCCUGGUGUGCUGCAGUCCAUGGGGUCACAAAGAGUCAGACACGACUGAGUGACUGAACAACAACAAAACUAAAAAAAGAAGUCUGUCUCAGAAUCUGCUUCUUGGAGAAUCCAACCUGUAGUACAAUUCUUGAAGCCAUGAAACAAUUUUUAAGGUACAUUAGGUAGACAGAUGAUUUCAAUAUUAUAUGAUAAACACUAGGAUAAAUAUGGGCUUCCCUGGUGGUUCAGUGGUAAAUACACCUGCCAGUGCAGGAGACACAGGAGACAUGGAUUUGAUCCCUGGGUUGGGAAGGUCACCUGGAGGAGGAAAUGGCAAUCCAUUCCCAGUGUUCUUGCCUGGGAAAUUCCAUGGAAGAGGAGCCUGGCAGGCUACAGUCCAUAGGGUCACAAAGAGUCAGACAUGACUUAGUGACUAAACAACACCUACACACAAAAGCUAUGGAAAGGAAGGAGGGAAGGGACAGGUAGUUCAACCAAGUGGACUCAAGUCCUACCGGAGAAGAAAAUCUCAAGAUUAUUUAUAAAGGCUAAUUAGGCUGUAACCAAAUAUUGAAGAGGGAACAAAUAUUCCAGAUAGAGAAAGAAAAUGCUAAAAGCAAACAGCAGACAGAUAUCCAAGGAAUCUGGAUACCCAGGCACCCAUGAAGAACCACCAGCAACUUGGAUCUAAUAAAACUAAUAGAACCCAAGAGAACAAACAGAACUUACAUUGUGAACUAGGGAUUAGCAUGAGAUAAAGUUAGAGAGAAAGUAAUUUAAGAGCUUGGUCUUGAUCCAGUAGAUAAUGGAGAUUUUUCUUCCUAGCUCUUUGGAACUUGUUCUAUUCCUUCAACAAGCUUUACAUGUUUGUCCUUCAUGAAACUUACUUUCAUUCAGUAGGAAUGCCUUGAGAAACCUCGUGUCUUAUCAUAAUUCAGAAUCUAGAUAUGAACAUCCAACUCAGCAUCUCCACUCCAAAUGGCCUACAGGAAUCACAAACUCAGUGCGUCCAAAAUUAAGUUCCACCUGACAUUCCAACACCUCAUCUUUCUGAAUUCUCUACCUUGGUGAAUGUUAGCUCUGUCUACCCAGUUGCCCAAACUAGAGUUCUAGGCAUCAGUCUUGAUUUCUUUCUCUUCUUCAUCCUCCUAGUUCAAUUCUUCAA
Molecule: long non-coding RNA, 1636 nt
Organism: Bos taurus (domestic cattle)
Lineage: Eukaryota; Metazoa; Chordata; Mammalia; Artiodactyla; Bovidae
Source: Ensembl